RNAcentral lists this microRNA precursor (102 nucleotides) under Zootermopsis nevadensis. RNAcentral describes it as "mir-965 microRNA precursor family". The stretch from base 16 to 87 matches the Rfam family "mir-965 microRNA precursor family". The record is from RNAcentral. Lineage: Eukaryota; Metazoa; Arthropoda; Insecta; Blattodea; Termopsidae.
AAGAUUUGAAGGGUGGUUCAGACGGGAGAGGCUGUAGCGAUUAUGUGCUUGUAACACUCAUAAGCGUAUAGCUUUUCCCCUUUGAACUGACUCUGCUGUUCA